AAGGUCCUAGCUUAAUUAAAGCGUCUGAGUUGCAUUCAGAAAAUGUGGGGUAGUAUCCUACGGGUCUUA
Molecule: transfer RNA, 69 nt
Filed under: Melanocharis striativentris (Streaked berrypecker)
Lineage: Eukaryota; Metazoa; Chordata; Aves; Passeriformes; Melanocharitidae
Description: tRNA-Ala
Rfam family: tRNA
About the family: Transfer RNA (tRNA) molecules are approximately 80 nucleotides in length. Their secondary structure includes four short double-helical elements and three loops (D, anti-codon, and T loops).
Source: RNAcentral